Non-coding RNA from Mycena leptocephala, 79 nucleotides. The record is from the annotation of a GenBank genome assembly. NCBI's taxonomy places the organism in Eukaryota, Fungi, Basidiomycota, Agaricomycetes, Agaricales, Mycenaceae.
GGUCUAAUUGCACAGUGGAGUGCGCUAGAUGUUUCUUCAGAUCAUCUAGACGUUCUGGGUUCGAGUCCCAGUUAGGCCG